Vitis riparia (riverbank grape) is the source of this 4207-nucleotide long non-coding RNA. RefSeq lists it as uncharacterized. Lineage: Eukaryota; Viridiplantae; Streptophyta; Magnoliopsida; Vitales; Vitaceae. The transcript is spliced from 3 exons. The record is from RefSeq and is a predicted model, not a curated record.
CUUUUCAAAUUUUUGGAGUUUAUGUUUUAUUUUGAAUCUCUUUCAAAUGAUUUAUUUUCUUUUUCUUUUUUCAUUUGGAGUUCCAAAUAUGAUGAGAAGUUUUUAGGUUCAAACUUUUACUCACAUUUGUUCUGAGACCUGACGUCUAAAAUAUUUAGGUGUUGAAAAACUUGUAUCCUGUUCAAAUAUAUAUGCUGAGUUAUGUGGUUAAGAAAGAUCAUUAAAUCAAACAUAUACUUGGAUGGAUAACCAUGUUUGAUUUUAUAGACUGGUACGGGUCUUCAGGAAUGGAGGAUUUUUGUGUAAGGGAGUUCCUUUGUAUAUACUUUGGUCUGUCUUAAAAAACAAACCUCUAAUUCACUAGUACAGAUGGUUUGUGACUGUAUCAAAUGUGGAUAUCCCACUGAUUGCUGUUAAACCUUCAAUAAUUUAAUUGUACUGGUUGUUUUAAUCACCUCAAUUAUGGAUGUGCAUUGUAAGAGAUUGCUGUCAAAAACUUCCUAUGAGAAGCAGAGAUCACCGUUAAAAGCUAAUAUGAGAAAUAGAAAAGCUUUUGGGUCUCUAUAAAAGGUAAUUUAAUAAUGGGAGUAAAGUUGAAGGUCCGCCAUGUUAAACCUUUCCUGAUUGUGUACAUAGCUUCUUAUGGUAGAAAGGCAUAUGCUUACAUAACUGUAAUUUCCUCUGGUUACUGCAAAAAAUAGUCAAAUUUUUGGGAAACAUCAUAAAAUUAUUUAUUUUUAUUAUUGUGCGAAGAAAAAGAUACUCUUGAAGAUGCUCCCAUCAUUUGGUAACUUUGCUUUGAUACUUGAUGCCUGUAAAUGAGAUGUGGGAUGUGAUGGAUUGAAGUUAUUUUAUUUGCGCAUUUACUUGAAAUUUCACACAAACUGUCACUAGUUCUACCAACUGCACACAGGUUCCUCAAGUUCAUCAUUUUGACCUUGUGGAUAGCAUGCAGCUUCAGGUGGUAUUUUCAUUUUUGACAUGAAGGUUAUUAUGGUUAUAAUUUAUGAGUUAUAUUAGCUAAUUUGGAAGAUUGAAUUGACUUUGAUUCAUUGGUUUCUAUAGAUUAAUGUAUCUAGACCUUCAAAUGGAUGCAAUGCUAAAGUUGAACUUCAAUAUAAGAACUGUUCAAGAAAAGGGAUUCUUCCCUGGGGUUGCACUUACCAUGGAAAUCGGUAAUGUGAGAAUGGAGAACCUCAUCAUAAUCUAAUUUUCUUUUUAUACAGUUGGUUUGUAUGUAUGAGCAAUUCUGAAUUUUUGUAUCCGUACAGGAGCUGGGUCAUUCCUUCUGAUUAUCCUUUAGAGACGAAACCUUAUCAGCAAAACUGCUUUGCAGAUUCCAUCUGUGAAGGCCUAUCUUUCUUUCCCUACCUCUUCUCUAUAUUUUUUAUUUGCACUGAAUUGACUAGCACGAAUUAAGAGUCUAGGGGGUUAUACAUAAGUUGAUAUGUCUUUGGUUAAUAUGCAGACUGGAUAGCAAAAGGUGGUUCUGCUAAAUUUCUUGUCAUUUUACUAGGUUGAAAUUAAACAUGGGAAUUUCCAAAUUGAGAUACCUGAGAGUGUGAUGCACAAUACCUCUCAUCUACCUAUACCAAAAGAUCUGAUAGAGUGAAAAACAUAUUUACUGUGGGAAGCAAGGGCAAGCCAAUGAGCUCACUACAACAACAAAAUGUGGUUCUGCCUUUUGCAAUUGACAAAAUCUCAAUCUAUCAAAGACUUCCCCAGAGAAUUAAAUAACUAUUUCAUACUUGCAUGUUACUUAGCACUCCCUUCUAUGGCCAUUUAUUUGAGAGUUUUGUUUCUUAAUUUAGAUGUGACUUUUCAAGAGAGCGUAUUCGACACUUAUUUUUGCUUUCACCUAAUUAAGAAAACCAGGGCUUUUUUGGCCUUUCUUUCCUUGUUAAAAUGAAUAACAUGUGUACAUAGAUGGUCAUGGUUCUCAAUGAAAAGUGAUUGAGAGUUGCGAAGAACAAUGUAUGUUUGUGUAGUCUGUCUUUUCUUAUAAGUUUCAAGGACACACUUGUUUAGGAGAAGUUGAGCAAUGUAUCUAUUUAUUAUUUAAAGCAACAUGUAGAGCAUUCAUCUAUCUACCUAGGGGUUUAUCCCUGUAUACAUUUAAAACAGUUCAUUUAUUAUCGCAUCUUCCUUUUACUGUGGCACUAGUUAUAUUAAUGGGCCUGUGCUCAAACUCCAGUUGUUCUGCCAAGGGUGCAUAUGCAUGUGCUAGACAGCCUAUACCAUAUACAGCCCAACUUCAGUUGUUCUCUCAAUUCAACUGAUGUUGAAUUAUUGAACUUUCACAAAGAAACUCACUAGAGUUUUCAUAAUUUCUUUGGAAGUGUCACCGAAUUUGGUGUUGGUUUUUUAUAUUUCUGAUGCAGCAAGAUUAUGAAGAUGGUUUGAUGAGGGAGCUUCAGAGUCAGUUGUCGAAGUGAAUUUCCUUGCAUGAAUUGCAAAGUAAUAUUCUUAAUGUGGGUGUUAAAGCAAUGGCUGGUAAUAAUGCACAACCUAGCUGCCAAACACCUUUAACCAUAGGAAGCAUUAUGUCAGGAAGUGAUUAGAAAGACAUUCCUAGGGACACACCAAAAGGGCUGGUUUUCCAUUGAUGAAUGAGAAGUGUAUUGGAGGAGAUAACGUGAUCCUGCAGCAAAGUUAUUGUGUUGACAACUACAACAUGGUGGUUAGUUUUCUUUUCUUUUGAGAAGUGUAUUGAAGUGAAUUUCCUUGCAUGAAUUGCAAAGUAAUAUUCUUAAUGUGGGUGCUAAAGCAAUGGCUGGUAAUAAUGCACAACCUAGCUGCCAAACACCUUUGAGCAUAGGAAUAGAAAGGCAUUCCUAGGGACACACCAAAAGGGCUGGUUUUCCAUUGAUGAAUGAGAAGUGUAUUGGAGGAGAUAACGUGAUCCUGCAGCAAAGUUAUUGUGUUGACAACUACAACAUGGUGGUUAGUUUUCUUUUGAUGAAAUUGUGGUUAUGCUAAAGAGAGUGAACAAUGUGCUUGGAUACUCUUUGGACCUUGAUUUUUGGCUAACACUGGGUCACUUCUCUAUAUAAGUUGGCUUGUCAAAUUGUUGCAUCAUGAUCAAAUCCUAUUUCAUGGUGAAGCUUGUGGGAAUCUUAUUUGACAAUUUGUUAGUGUUCCUAAACUCUGGAUUAAAUGAUUAAUGGCAUUAUUCUUACUGGAAAUUUUUCUGCAUGUACAUAUGUAUUCUGAUAUCUAACUAUUAUAUAAGAGGAAGGGCGAUUCCAACUAUAACAUUUUGUGCUUCUAAGAAUCAUUUUCUUUUUCUCUAUUCUAGACUAAUUGUAGAAGCACAUUGGAAGUUGGUUGCCAAACUUACACAAAAUUUUAAGCAUUUAUGCACCCCUGUAGUGUGGCACCACUUUAAUAUCUGUGUUUUUAACUUGACCAAGUAAAACUGGAUCUUGCUGACAAACAAUAAAUGGAUUUAAUUUAGACUUUCCCCCCCUAAAAUAUGGAUGAGAUUCAGGUAUUACUUUAAUGGAUUUGAAUUCUAUGGACUUUGAUGAAUUCAAGUAUUUGUUGAAUCUUUUGAUUUUAUUUCCUAUUUUAGGUCCUUUUUGAAAAUGGUUGGGGCUGAUUAUGGCAUAGUGGUUGCUACAAACAUGAAAGGUGCUACAGUGUUUCAUUGAGGUGAAUCAAAGUUGUCCCCAGGGGAAUGGUUGUUGGGCUUUGUCACUGGUUGUCAGGCCUCUCCACCAGAGAUCUUGCAUGGAAAAUCAAAGCUGCUUGAUGGAGCAUGUCAGAUCUAUUUUACUGACAUGUUGAUUGGAAAUGGAUUCUUCCAGGUUAACAUAAGCAAAGCAUUUGUUUUUAUUACACACACACUUUAUCCUGACUGCACUUGUUACAGUUUGUCGAUAUUAAUUUGCAUCAAAGGUAGUUUUUGGGCCCACCGUUUGUCAUCUGGUCAGGUGGAUCAUGGAUAAAAGUAAUGGGUCAAAUUUCUCAACAGGCCUAAAAGCUAUGAAUCCACGUGGAAAGCAACCUUUGCAAUUCACAUGCUGUGUACUGGGCUUGAGCAAAUUGCAUGCUAAGUGGUGUUGGCUGAUAUGAAGCAUCCUCCCUUCCAGGCCACCGGAACAAAGUUCUCAGAGUAUGAAUUUAUGAACGCUUGCUGAAUUUGUUGCUGUUUUGAAAUUAUUCUGAGUAAUGCAAGUGUGUUGGUCCAUUUGAUUGGUGAAAA